This is a long non-coding RNA of Cyprinus carpio carpio, 1367 nucleotides long. Lineage: Eukaryota; Metazoa; Chordata; Actinopteri; Cypriniformes; Cyprinidae. The record is from Ensembl.
GGAACCAGCUGUGAAAACACAGAAGCAAGAUAGAAAGAAAAGUGAAGAAAAUUUGCAGAUUGAUUUGUUACAGACAGGCACGUACAGCAUUAGAAAAAAUGAAAGCAAACCAGGAAGAUAAACCCAGGUUUGAGGAAGGAUUAGAAAAAAUGAGGAGAACAGAUAAUAAAUAGAAAUAAAAGCAGAAGUAGAGGCUAUGGAAGAAGAAAUAGAAGAGAAAAUGAAAGAAUUAGGAAAAAUAUGCAAGAGGUCAAUAAAUUAGAAAGAGGGAUAAGUAAGUUGUUUGACAGUAAUGAGGAUAUACAUAAAGCAGAUGAGUUAUUUGAUAACAGAAAAUGGGAAAAGGGCAGAGAAAAGGGGACAUUCAGACCACUGGCUGCACAACUCCCAAUUUUAAUCAAGGGUGGGCAGGGACAGUAAGUCCCCUGGGCUUCACAGGACCUUGAUGGGCUGGCCAAUCGCCUCCCAGAUAUUCACGAGGGGGCUGGAAAGUGGAUCAGGGUGUUUGAGGAACAAACUAUGGGCAAAUUUUUGGCUGUGAGAGACAUUAAAGCUUUGCUGGCUAAAAUUGUAGGAGGGACAAAGAUGGAUGAAAUUCUUCAAACAACUACUCUAAACAGAGCAGUGAACUCUCACAAUAUGGAUGGGAUUGUUUUGAUGCAUUCGGUCCAGCAGUGUGGCAGGCACUGCGUGCGGAGUACCCGAUCAGACUGAAUCCUAAAAUCACUGAAGAGACAAGAGCUGGGAAACACAGAAAAUCCAACCACAUAAGUUCAGAAACAGCUGAAAAGAUGGAAGCAAGAAACUGAGGGGGAUCCAAAAAGACACCCAUUAAUGGCAACAUUGUUUAGCCCACUUACAACAAUCCCUCCAAACGCACACCCGAUCCCUGUGUCCAUAAUUAAUGUUUAUACUCAACAGCCAGGACAAUGGGAGAGAGAAAGAAACCCAUACAGCGAGGCCAGAGAGGAAGAGAAUUAUACUGGUCCUCCAGGUGUGUGCUGGGCAGAUGGAACAGCCCGGACAUAAUAAAAAUGACUAUCCCACCUAUCCACCUUAAAAGUACCCUCAGUGUGGAAGGGAGAGAGCUGGCGACAGCCUAACCAAGGUCCAGUACAGGGCCCAGUAUCCCCUUGGAGAGGUCCCAAUUCAGGUUAUUAGGGGUGCCCAGAGAAUCCUACAGGGGAGAGUCAGCUUUCAAUUUUAAUAACUAAAGCUGAUCAAGAGCCUAUUAUGCAAAUUAAAAUAGAAGGAAAAACACACCCAUGAUUUUAUACACAGGUGUUUUUUUUAUACCUGUUUAAAUUUAAAAUAUGCCUCACAUCUCCUCUUGUCUGGAAAAAUUUGCAAAGACAAUAGGAUUCCCA